GACGAACGCUGGCGGCGUGCCUAAUACAUGCAAGUGGGACGCAAGAGAACACACUGUGCUUGCACACCGUGUUUUCUUGAGUCGCGAACGGGUGAGUAACGCGUAGGUAACCUGCCUAUUAGCGGGGGAUAACUAUUGGAAACGAUAGCUAAUACCGCAUAAUAUUAAUUAUUGCAUGAUAAUUGAUUGAAAGAUGCAAGCGCAUCACUAGUAGAUGGACCUGCGUUGUAUUAGCUAGUUGGUAAGGUAAGAGCUUACCAAGGCGACGAUACAUAGCCGACCUGAGAGGGUGAUCGGCCACACUGGGACUGAGACACGGCCCAGACUCCUACGGGAGGCAGCAGUAGGGAAUCUUCGGCAAUGGACGAAAGUCUGACCGAGCAACGCCGCGUGAGUGAAGAAGGUUUUCGGAUCGUAAAGCUCUGUUGUAAGUCAAGAACGUGUGUGAGAGUGGAAAGUUCACACAGGACGGUAGCUACCAGAAAG
This 486-nucleotide ribosomal RNA is filed under the name Streptococcus mutans. RNAcentral's name for it is "bacterial SSU rRNA". It matches the Rfam family "Bacterial small subunit ribosomal RNA", at positions 28 to 490 of the family's 1533-position model. Lineage: Bacteria; Bacillati; Bacillota; Bacilli; Lactobacillales; Streptococcaceae. The record is from RNAcentral.